This 252-nucleotide ribosomal RNA is filed under the name uncultured bacterium. Its description in RNAcentral is "partial 16S ribosomal RNA". It matches the Rfam family "Bacterial small subunit ribosomal RNA", at positions 524 to 775 of the family's 1533-position model. The record is from RNAcentral.
UACGUAGGGGGCAAGCGUUGUCCGGAAUCACUGGGCGUAAAGGGCGCGUAGGCGGCAUGCCAAGCGUGUGGUGAAAGCCCGGGGCUCAACCCCGGGUCGGCCGUGCGGACUGGCGUGCUCGAGCACUGUAGGGGCGGGUGGAAUUCCGGGUGUAGCGGUGGAAUGCGUAGAGAUCCGGAGGAACACCAGUGGCGAAGGCGGCUGGCUGGACCUGACCUGACGCUGAGGCGCGAAGGCGUGGGGAGCGAACGG